Pelobates cultripes (western spadefoot toad) is the source of this 330-nucleotide non-coding RNA. Lineage: Eukaryota; Metazoa; Chordata; Amphibia; Anura; Pelobatidae. The record is from the annotation of a GenBank genome assembly.
GUGACUUUCUAUCUGUGUGACUGCCUGCCUGUGUGUGUAUAACUGUCUAUGUGUGUGUUACUGUGUGUCUGUCUGUGUGUGUGACUGCCUAUGUGACUGUCUGUCUGUGUGUGUCGCUGUAGCUGUGCCAUUGUUUGUGCCUGUGCCUGCCUGUAUGUGUGACUGCCUUUAACUGAGUGUGUGUGUACAUGCCUGUAACCGAGUUUAAAUUUCCCCCACCCCUUCCUGUCAAGGCCGCACUUUGACUGACAGACGCUCACUCACUGACAGAUGCACACUCACUGACGACACAUACACACUCACUGACUGACACAUACACACUCACUGACU